UACGGAGGGAGCUAGCGUUGUUCGGAAUUACUGGGCGUAAAGCGCACGUAGGCGGCUUUGUAAGUUAGAGGUGAAAGCCUGGAGCUCAACUCCAGAAUUGCCUUUAAGACUGCAUCGCUUGAGUCCAGAAGAGGUGAGUGGAAUUCCGAGUGUAGAGGUGAAAUUCGUAGAUAUUCAGAAGAACACCAGUGGCGAAGGCGGCUCACUGGACCGGUAUUGACGCUGAGGUGCGAAAGCUUGGGGAGCAAACAGG
This 253-nucleotide ribosomal RNA is filed under the name uncultured bacterium. RNAcentral describes it as "partial 16S ribosomal RNA". It matches the Rfam family "Bacterial small subunit ribosomal RNA", at positions 524 to 776 of the family's 1533-position model. The record is from RNAcentral.